Molecule: long non-coding RNA, 279 nt
Organism: Dreissena polymorpha
Lineage: Eukaryota; Metazoa; Mollusca; Bivalvia; Myida; Dreissenidae
Exons: 2
Source: RefSeq, a predicted model, not a curated record
GGCUGUUUUUAUACGCCCGUAUAAAUACGGGACGUAUUAUGUGAAACCCCGCGGCGGGCGGCGGGCGGCGGGCGGAAGGCAUCACUUUGUCCGGACUCUAAUUCAAAUUGUAUUCAUCCGAUCUUCACCAAACUUGGUCAGCAGUUGCAUCUAGUUGAUAUCUAGGCCAAGUUCGAAUAUGGGUCAUGCCGGGUCAAAAACUAGGUCAUAGGGUCAAUUAGUGCAUUUUCAACGGCGCCACUUUGUCCGGACUCUAAUUCAAAUUGUAUUCAUCCGAUC